RNAcentral lists this ribosomal RNA (468 nucleotides) under uncultured bacterium. Its description in RNAcentral is "partial 16S ribosomal RNA". It matches the Rfam family "Bacterial small subunit ribosomal RNA", at positions 28 to 507 of the family's 1533-position model. The record is from RNAcentral.
GACGAACGCUGGCGGCGUGCUUAACACAUGCAAGUCGAACGGAAAGGCCCUGCUUUUGUGGGGUGCUCGAGUGGCGAACGGGUGAGUAACACGUGAGUAAACUGCCCUUGACUUUGGGAUAACUUCAGGAAACUGGGGCUAAUACCGGAUAGGAGCUCCUGCAGCAUGGUGGGGGUUGGAAAGUUUCGGCGGUUGGGGAUGGACUCGCGGCUUAUCAGCUUGUUGGUGGGGUAGUGGCUUACCAAGGCUUUGACGGGUAGCCGGCCUGAGAGGGUGACCGGCCACAUUGGGACUGAGAUACGGCCCAGACUCGUACGGGAGGCAGCAGUGGGGAAUAUUGCAGAAUGGGCGGAAGCCUGAUGCAGCAACGCCGCGUGCGGGAUGACGGCCUUCGGGUUGUAAACCGCUUUCGCCUGUGACGAAGCGUGAGUGACGGUAAUGGGUAAAGAAGCACCGGCUAACUACGUG